Molecule: ribosomal RNA, 274 nt
Filed under: uncultured bacterium
Lineage: Bacteria
Description: partial 16S ribosomal RNA
Rfam family: Bacterial small subunit ribosomal RNA
Source: RNAcentral
AUACGGAGGGUGCAAGCGUUACUCGGAAUCACUGGGCGUAAAGGACGCGUAGGCGGGUUGGAAAGUCUGAUGUGAAAUCCUACAGCUUAACUGUAGAACUGCAUUGGAAACUUCCAACCUAGAGUAUGAGAGGGGGAGAUGGAAUUAGUGGUGUAGGGGUAAAAUCCGUAGAUAUCACUAGGAAUACCCAAAGCGAAGGCGAUCUCCUGGAACAUUACUGACGCUAAGGCGUGAAAGCGUGGGGAGCAAACGGGAUUAGAAACCCGAGUAGUCC